UGACGGUACCACUUGAAUAAGCUCCGGCUAACUACGUGCCAGCAGCCGCGGUAAUACGUAGGGAGCAAGCGUUAUCCGGAUUUACUGGGUGUAAAGGGCGUGUAGGCGGGACUGCAAGUCAGAUGUGAAAGCACGAGGCUCAACUUCGUGUCUGCAUUUGAAACUGUAGUUCUUGAGUGUUGGAGAGGCUAACGGAACUCCUAGUGUAGCGGUGAAAUGCGUAGAUAUUAGGAAGAACACCAGUGGCGAAGGCGGUUAGCUGGACAAUAACUGACGCUGAGGCGCGAAAGCGUGGGUAGCAAACAGGAUUAGAUACCCUG
RNAcentral lists this ribosomal RNA (320 nucleotides) under uncultured bacterium. RNAcentral describes it as "bacterial SSU rRNA". It matches the Rfam family "Bacterial small subunit ribosomal RNA", at positions 470 to 789 of the family's 1533-position model. The record is from RNAcentral.